AUUGAACGCUGGCGGCAGGCCUAACACAUGCAAGUCGAGCGGAUGAAGGGAGCUUGCUCCUGGAUUCGGCGGCGGACGGGUGAGUAAUGCCUAGGAAUCUGCCUGGUAGUGGGGGAUAACGUCCGGAAACGGGCGCUAAUACCGCAUACGUCCUGAGGGAGAAAGUGGGGGAUCGUCGGACCUCACGCUAUCAGAUGAGCCUAGGUCGGAUUAGCUAGUUGGUGGGUUAAAGGCCUACCAAGGCGACGAUCCGUAACUGGUCUGAGAGGAUGAUCAGUCACACUGGAACUGAGACACGGUCCAGACUCCUACGGGAGGCAGCAGUGGGGAAUAUUGGACAAUGGGCGAAAGCCUGAUCCAGCCAUGCCGCGUGUGUGAAGAAGGUCUUCGGAUUGUAAAGCCCUUUAAGUUGGGAGGAAGGGCAGUAAGUUAAUACCUUGCUGUUUUGACGUUACCAACAGAAUAAGCACCGGCUAACUUCGUG
Molecule: ribosomal RNA, 484 nt
Filed under: uncultured bacterium
Lineage: Bacteria
Description: partial 16S ribosomal RNA
Rfam family: Bacterial small subunit ribosomal RNA
Source: RNAcentral